GUAUUUCAUUGCGUUAAACGCGACAUACAUUCCAUUAGACUUUAUUUCGGUGUGUGUGUAAAGACAUAGAACCACAGCAGGAGGACAGGGCCCCCCAGGCCAUAGAACUACAGAGGGUGCACAGGUGUGAGUGGAUGUGUAAACAGAGCGUGCACAUGCCCCCAUACAGGGGCCAGCAACAACCCUUGUUGACAAUUCGGUAAUGAUCCUUCCGCAGGUUCACCUACGGAAA
Molecule: unclassified non-coding RNA, 232 nt
Filed under: uncultured fungus
Lineage: Eukaryota; Fungi
Description: sequence contains ITS1
Source: RNAcentral